GAGUAACGCGUGAGAAUCUAGCUUCAGGUCGGGGACAACCACUGGAAACGGUGGCUAAUACCGGAUGUGCCGAAAGGUGAAAGAUUUAUUGCCUGAAGAUGAGCUCGCGUCUGAUUAGCUAGUUGGUGUGGUAAGAGCGCACCAAGGCGACGAUCAGUAGCUGGUCUGAGAGGAUGAUCANCCACACUGGGANUGAGACACGGCCCAGACUCCUACGGGAGGCAGCAGUGGGGAAUUUUCCGCAAUGGGCGAAAGCCUGACGGAGCAAUACCGCGUGAGGGAGGAAGGCUCUUGGGUUGUAAACCUCUUUUCUCAGGGAAUAAAAAAAUGAAGGUACCUGAGGAAUAAGCAUCGGCUAACUCCGUGCCAGCAGCCGCGGUAAUACGGAGGAUGCAAGCGUUAUCCGGAAUGAUUGGGCGUAAAGCGUCCGCAGGUGGCACUGUAAGUCUGCUGUUAAAGAGCAAGGCUCAACCUUGUAAAGGCAGUGGAAACUACAGA
This 498-nucleotide ribosomal RNA is filed under the name Desmonostoc muscorum LCRSM-ALa. Its description in RNAcentral is "bacterial SSU rRNA". It matches the Rfam family "Bacterial small subunit ribosomal RNA", at positions 108 to 639 of the family's 1533-position model. Lineage: Bacteria; Bacillati; Cyanobacteriota; Cyanophyceae; Nostocales; Nostocaceae. The record is from RNAcentral.